GACGAACGCUGGCGGCGCGCCUAACACAUGCAAGUCGAACGGUGAAGAGGAGCUUGCUCCUCGGAACAGUGGCGGACGGGUGAGUAACACGUGAGCAACCUGGCUCUAAGAGGGGGACAACAGUUGGAAACGACUGCUAAUACCGCAUGACGUAUCGGGAUGGCAUCUUCCUGAUACCAAAGAUAUUAUCGCUUAGAGAUGGGCUCGCGUCUGAUUAGAUAGUUGGCGGGGUAACGGCCCACCAAGUCGACGAUCAGUAGCCGGACUGAGAGGUUGAACGGCCACAUUGGGACUGAGACACGGCCCAGACUCCUACGGGAGGCAGCAGUGGGGGAUAUUGGACAAUGGGGGCAACCCUGAUCCAGCGACGCCGCGUGAGGGAAGAAGGUUUUCGGAUUGUAAACCUCUGUUGACGGAGAAAAAAAUGAUGGUAUCCGUUUAGAAAGCCACGGCUAACUACGUG
This 463-nucleotide ribosomal RNA is filed under the name uncultured bacterium. RNAcentral describes it as "partial 16S ribosomal RNA". It matches the Rfam family "Bacterial small subunit ribosomal RNA", at positions 28 to 507 of the family's 1533-position model. The record is from RNAcentral.